Molecule: long non-coding RNA, 424 nt
Organism: Penaeus chinensis
Lineage: Eukaryota; Metazoa; Arthropoda; Malacostraca; Decapoda; Penaeidae
Exons: 2
Source: RefSeq, a predicted model, not a curated record
UUCAUGAUUACUUCACUUAAUCUAUAGUCUUGAUGAUAGAGAAGCGUUACCCUAAGACAAAAAAACUGCACAUGAUUCAGGAGAAUAACUUUAUUUUAUGAACAUUUCAAAGACGUUUGUCUUCACUGUCCGUGUUAACACAAGGAUUGCACAUCGUUCAGAAGGGUAUGUGCUACAAACGGACUAAAAAUACUAAAAUAAAGGAAACUACAUGAAUAUAUAAUUGAAACCGAGUAUAAACAUCAAGUAAUAAAAUUGGUAAUAACAGACAAAGGAUUACACAGUUAUAGGUUGUACUGCAAUUACCCAGCUUUAGGAAUCAUGGAUUUCCAGGACAAGUCUGUUGGGUGUGUGUGUGUGUGUGUGUGUGUGUGUGUGUGUGUGUGUGUGUGUGUGUGUGUGUGUGUGUGUGUGUGUGUGUGUG